GCAGCCUGGAUGGCGAGGGCUGACAGGGAGGCCUGUGGAGCCCCACAGGUUGGAGGCACUUAGGACCCCACCUGGAAGGUCGGUUCUGCAUCCAUCUCCCUGAGCCUUUUCUCUCUCCAUGGGCCCCUCUGUGCGGCCGCGGCGCUAAAAGCUGCUAGAAUUAGCAGGGCUGAGAACCGUCCUCAGGCGCCAGUACGAGCCUCGCUCUUGUUUCCUGCUCGAAAGAAGACACCUCGUUACCCAAGUUGGGAGGACACUCUGUGCCAUCUGCUCUUGGCCCCUUGGGUCCCAGAGCUGCUUCUGACACACAGGCUUUUUCACAGCCCGCCGCACAUGGCUACUGGCCAUGAGGCGGUGAUGGUGCCUGGCACACAGAUGUGGCUGGUGCCUGAGAGGCUUGAGGUCGGCCCCAGGGGAGGGGCCUUGGCCUGGGCCCAGCACACAGUCCUCCAGUGUCCCAGGGAGGCACCACUCAGAACCAGAAGAUGAAAAUGUUUGGCUCUGGGGGGGAAUUAUGCAAAUUAUCUACCUGGUUUCUGUGUUUGAAAAUACCCAGAUGUUGGCUUCCAAAUCAGAAAGCUGUCUUGGGGCAAUCUCUAUUCCCUGUCUGGUUCAGGUGGUCCUUUCUACAAACACUGGAGACCGGGUUUUGACUGUCAGCCUCCUGUCUGGCCCUCCCCAGCAACGUCGCUAAGCCAGAGGGCUGGCCCUCCCCGUCCACCUUCUCCAGGACAGGCUCCAUGCCGACCACAACCCACCAAGCCACAUAGAGGGCCAUACUCCCCACUUCCUGCAGCGCCCAGAUCCACCCAAUGCUGUACCCACCAUGCUGGGCUGAUGCCUCAGGCUGAGCUGAGAUCAGUCUUGGUGUUCUCCCUUCUUCCUGCUUCAAAAAGUGGGUGUCUGGUGUUUUCCCCUGAGGUCCUCAUGAGCCAGAUUUAGCAAACCUCCGCUCAGAAGCCUGACCCUUGGAGAAUGCCCCCUAAGGAACAGCCUGGUCCGCGGUAACCUGUCUCCCCUUGCCUCCUCCCUGCCUCAGUUGCAUAGAUUCGUGGUUUGAAGUGAACAGAUCUUGUCCAGAACAUCCCGCGGACUGACCCUGCUGGGCUCGCUUGCUGACUCCUCUCAAAGGGACAGCCAGCCCCCGUUCCUGGGAGGAGGCAUCGGACACGGGCAGAGCUGAGCUGGGGACACCGGUGGGAACAGGGCACCCCUUCUGCACUGACUUCCAGAGAAUGGUUCUCCCUUUCUCCCUGAGGACACCAAACUGGAUGAGAGCGAGUUUGAGAGAAGAAUCCACUGCUAUCCUUCCCCUCACCCCUCAUCCCAGGAGGGAAAGGGCAUUUUCUUUUACACCUUUCAAAGGCGUUGUGGGUCUGUCUAAAGUGUUUACAAAAAAAAAAAAUUAUAAAAAAAAAGUCUAGUGUCGACUGGUGUUUUCCCUCGUGAUGUUUACAGAUUGCCGUCUGCCGCCCGGCUAGAACCCACUCAGUGACAGAGACGAACGGGGCUGCGCGCACGGGCUCCUCCUGUGCCCAGCGCCCUCCUGUCGGCCCUCUCUAUCACCGACCACUCUGCCUUGGGUGGUUUUUUGUUUUGUUUUGUUUUUGGGUUGUGGUUGUUUGUUUGUUUCCUCCAUUUUUCUGGCUUGGUUUUGCACUUUUCUCCCCUUGGGACCCUGAUAUGUAACUUCAUUGCCAAAAAAACAACCCAUCAAGGAUCUUCUCCUCUCCAUUCCCUUUUCCUCUCCCUCCUUCGCUCCUGGUUCUGGUCAGUUCAGAGGAUUUAACAAUCACAAGUGUCCUGCAAAAAUGCCUGAACAUUUUUCUUAGACCCUUGUGGAUUUUUUUUCCCGGAAAACUUAAACAGAUAAAAGACUUAUUAAAGGAAUAUGUA
Molecule: non-coding RNA, 1896 nt
Organism: Callorhinus ursinus (northern fur seal)
Lineage: Eukaryota; Metazoa; Chordata; Mammalia; Carnivora; Otariidae
Source: RefSeq, a predicted model, not a curated record